ACCCCUACGGGGGGCAGCAGUAAGGAAUAUUGGACAAUGGGCGAAAGCCCGAUCCAGCCAUCCCGCGUGGAGGAUGACUGCCCUACGGGUUGUAAACUCCUUUUAUAUGAGAAGAAACGCCUGGAUUUAUCCGGGCCUGACGGUAUCUUAUGAAUAAGCACCGGCUAACUCCGUGCCAGCAGCCGCGGUAA
RNAcentral lists this ribosomal RNA (191 nucleotides) under uncultured Lewinella sp. Its description in RNAcentral is "partial 16S ribosomal RNA". It matches the Rfam family "Bacterial small subunit ribosomal RNA", at positions 335 to 523 of the family's 1533-position model. Lineage: Bacteria; Pseudomonadati; Bacteroidota; Saprospiria; Saprospirales; Lewinellaceae. The record is from RNAcentral.